AAUGAACGCUGGCGGCAGGCCUAACACAUGCAAGUCGAACGGAUCCUUCGGGAUUAGUGGCGGACGGGUGAGUAACGCGUGGGAACAUACCCUUUGGUACGGAAUAGCCUCGGGAAACUGGGAGUAAUACCGUAUGUGGUCGAGAGACGAAAGAUUUAUCGCCAAAGGAUUGGCCCGCGUUGGAUUAGGUAGUUGGUGGAGUAAUGGCCUACCAAGCCGACGAUCCAUAGCUGGUUUGAGAGGAUGAUCAGCCACACUGGGACUGAGACACGGCCCAGACUCCUACGGGAGGCAGCAGUGGGGAAUCUUAGACAAUGGGGGAAACCCUGAUUUAGCCAUGCCGCGUGAUCGAUGAAGGCCUUAGGGUUGUAAAGAUCUUUCAGGUGGGAAGAUAAUGACUGUACCACCAGAAGAAGCCCCGGCUAACUCCGUGCCAGCCGCCGCAGUAA
RNAcentral lists this ribosomal RNA (449 nucleotides) under uncultured bacterium. Its description in RNAcentral is "partial 16S ribosomal RNA". It matches the Rfam family "Bacterial small subunit ribosomal RNA", at positions 29 to 523 of the family's 1533-position model. The record is from RNAcentral.